CGUUUAAAGGUAAGGAGUUGUUUUGAAAGCAAUUAAUAGAGUGUUCGAUUCACUCAAAACGUUA
This 64-nucleotide transfer RNA is filed under the name Lucinella divaricata. RNAcentral's name for it is "tRNA-Ser". The record is from RNAcentral. Lineage: Eukaryota; Metazoa; Mollusca; Bivalvia; Lucinida; Lucinidae.